RNAcentral lists this transfer RNA (70 nucleotides) under Grallina cyanoleuca. Its description in RNAcentral is "tRNA-Trp". It matches the Rfam family "tRNA". Rfam says of the family: Transfer RNA (tRNA) molecules are approximately 80 nucleotides in length. Their secondary structure includes four short double-helical elements and three loops (D, anti-codon, and T loops). Lineage: Eukaryota; Metazoa; Chordata; Aves; Passeriformes; Monarchidae. The record is from RNAcentral.
AGAAACUUAGGAUAGUACAAACCGAAGGCCUUCAAAGCCUUAAACAAGAGUUAAACCCUCUUAGUUUCUG